GACGAACGCUGGCGGCGUGCUUACCUCAUGCAAGUCGAGCGAGAAGAUUCCCUUCGGGGAUGAUUCUAGCGGCGGACGGGUGAGUAACACGGGGGUAACCUGCCUUAUAGGGGGGAAUAGCCUUCCAAAAGGAAAAUUAAUACCGCAUAAAAUUGUAGCUUCGCAUGAAGUAGCAAUUAAAGGAGCAAUUCGCUAUAAGAUGGACCCGCGUCGCAUUAGCUAGUUGGGGAGGUAACGGCUCACCAAGGCGACAAUGCGUAGCCAACCUGAGAGGGUGAUCGGCCACAUUGGGACUGAGACACGGCCUAAACUCCUACGGGAGGCAGCAGUGGGGAAUAUUGCACAAUGGGGGAAACCCUGAUGCAGCACCGCCGCGUGAGUGAUGAAGGUCUUCGGAUUGUAAAACUCUGUCUUUGGGGACAAUAAUGACGGUACCUGACUAAAAAGCACCGGCUAAAUACGUG
RNAcentral lists this ribosomal RNA (464 nucleotides) under uncultured bacterium. Its description in RNAcentral is "bacterial SSU rRNA". It matches the Rfam family "Bacterial small subunit ribosomal RNA", at positions 28 to 507 of the family's 1533-position model. The record is from RNAcentral.